CGCUAAUGUUGGGUUUGGAUUUGUCUGUUAACCAGACCCGAGUCCCUAACUACGAGGAAGAAGAAGGAUUACAGAGAGAGUCUGACCGAGAGACGAGGGUUUCAAAAUAAUCUUCAUCGAAAUCCAGAGCUGGAAAUGCCUAAACCUCGUUUAGCUCUCAUCUUCCUUCUAUUGCAUCUGUUAAUCCUUCAUCUCACAUCUCCAAUUUCAGCAAUCAGGAAGGAUGCGAGUCUUCAAGGCAAACACAUUUGUAGAACUACAGUUCAAGGAAGAUACUUGCUCUCUGAUGACAAUGGCCAUGUAUGUGAUGCACUAUCAGUGGAUCCAGAGUCUCGUUGCUGCCCUGGAAAAGGAGAGCAAUUUGCUUGUCAUGGAUGCAACCUUGCUUCGCAGUGCUGCAACUCAUACGAAUUUUGUGUUUCAUGCUGCCAGAACCCUGCAAAAACGCAGAAGGAAUUAGCGCUGAAGGUGAAGAUAUCUAAGCCAGCAACUGCAGGGACCUAUUUGAGUGUUUUUGAUUUCUGCUCUGGGAGAUGUCGCCAUAAUUCUGAAAGUGUGGUUCAUGAAAAUGCUUAUUUUAGUGAUUUCCAUCACUGCUUUUCUCUUCCAUCAAAUUAUUCAGGGACUACUGAUGCACUUGUGGAAGCAAGAAUAGCUGGAAUUAAUGUUAUCAUUGGAAGGCAAGGGCAGUCAUGCAAUUCUGUUUGCAAGUCAAAUGGGCAGUCAUGUGUUCCGAACAAACUGUCAAUGCUUAAUCAAUGUGCAAUUAUGCAGAAAUAUAUGAGCUGCAAAGGAGCAUGUUUGGCAAGCAUUGGAGCAGACCAACCUGCUGAAGUUGUCGAUGAUGCGCCUAAAGAUCUGAAUCCAGGAGCGUGCUUAUACACUCGAACACAAUCAAUGCUUUCUUGUGAUGGUUCGCAUCGGCAUACAAGGAGGCUUUGCCCCUGUGCAUAGUUUCAUAAUUUGCUAAGUUUUCUCUUGUACACGCCUCCAACAUCAGUUCUGGGAAUGGUCUAUUUCAAUUAUUGUGUGGUUGCACCACUAAGGCUACAAACUCGAGAGAGGUGGAGCUUUUCAAAACCAUAUCGGCUCUUUGUUGUAGAAGAGCUAUUGAAGCGGGUUUGAAAUUGAGGCAGAUAUUUAUAUAGUGCUUGUAUUUAUAUUAUUAAUUCGUUUUUAAAAGAGAAAAUGCAGCCCAAGGGUAUAUGCACUUAUCACCAUAGAAGAGCCUUUAGCAUAGAAGAGAAAGUCAACAGCUUGUAGAACUAUCUUGAAUGCAAAAAAAAUGGUUUAAAGUACAACAUGAAUAAACUGUUGGAGAAUGGCUGUAA
Molecule: non-coding RNA, 1331 nt
Organism: Camellia sinensis
Lineage: Eukaryota; Viridiplantae; Streptophyta; Magnoliopsida; Ericales; Theaceae
Source: RefSeq, a predicted model, not a curated record